UAAGCAUAUCAAUAAGCGGAGGAAAAGAAACUAACAAGGAUUCCCCUAGUAACUGCGAGUGAAGCGGGAAAAGCUCAAAUUUAAAAUCUGUCAGUCUUUGGCUGACCGAGUUGUAAUCUAGAGAAGCGUUAUCCGCGCUGGACCGUGUACAAGUCUCCUGGAAUGGAGCGUCAUAGAGGGUGAGAAUCCCGUCUUUGACACGGACUGCCAGGGCUUUGUGAUGCGCUCUCAAAGAGUCGAGUUGUUUGGGAAUGCAGCUCAAAAUGGGUGGUAAAUUCCAUCUAAAGCUAAAUAUUGGCGAGAGACCGAUAGCGAACAAGUACCGUGAGGGAAAGAUGAAAAGAACUUUGGAAAGAGAGUUAAACAGUACGUGAAAUUGCUGAAAGGGAAACGCUUGAAGUCAGUCGCGUUGUCCAGGGAUCAACCUUGCUUUUGCUUGGUGUACUUUCUGGUUGACGGGUCAGCAUCAAUUUUGACUAUUGGAAAAAGAUCAAGGGAAUGUGGCAUCUUUGGAUGUGUUAUAGCCUUUGGUUGCAUACAAUGGUUGGGAUUGAGGAACUCAGCACGCCGCAAGGCCGGGUUUUUUUAACCACGUACGUGCUUAGGAUGCUGGCAUAAUGGCUUUAAUCGACCCGUCUUGAAACACGGACCAAGGAGUCUAACAUGCCUGCGAGUGUUUGGGUGGAAAACCCGAGCGCGUAAUGAAAGUGAAAGUUGAGAUCCCUGUCGUGGGGAGCAUCGACGCCCGGACCAGACCUUUUGUGACGGCUCCGCGGUAGAGCAUGUAUGUUGGGACCCGAAAGAUGGUGAACUAUGCCUGAAUAGGGUGAAGCCAGAGGAAACUCUGGUGGAGGCUCGUAGCGAUUCUGACGUGCAAAUCGAUCGUCAAAUUUGGGUAUAGGGGCGAAAGACUAAUCGAACCAUCUAGUAAGCUGGUUCCUGC
This 943-nucleotide ribosomal RNA is filed under the name Cortinarius atrolazulinus. RNAcentral describes it as "eukaryotic LSU rRNA". It matches the Rfam family "Eukaryotic large subunit ribosomal RNA", at positions 35 to 961 of the family's 3401-position model. Lineage: Eukaryota; Fungi; Basidiomycota; Agaricomycetes; Agaricales; Cortinariaceae. The record is from RNAcentral.